GAUGUCGACUUGGAGGUUGUGCCCUGAGGCGUGGCUUCGGAGCUAACGCGUUAAGUCGACCGCUGGGGAGUACGGCCGCAAGGUUAAAACUCAAAUGAAUUGACGGGGGCCCGCACAGCGGUGGAGCAUGUGGUUUAAUUCGAUGCAACGCGAAGAACCUUACCUGGCCUUGACAUCCAGAGAACUUAGCAGAGAUGCUUUGGUGCCUUCGGGAACUCUGAGACAGGUGCUGCAUGGCUGUCGUCAGCUCGUGUUGUGAAAUGUUGGGUUAAGUCCCGCAACGAGCGCAACCCUUAUCCUUUGUUGCCAGCGGUUCGGCCGGGAACUCAAAGGAGACUGCCGGUGAUAAACCGGAGGAAGGUGGGGAUGACGUCAAGUCAUCAUGGCCCUUACGGCCAGGGCUACACACGUGCUACAAUGGCGCAUACAAAGAGAAGCGACCUCGCGAGAGCAAGCGGACCUCAUAAAGUGCGUCGUAGUCCGGAUUGGAGUCUGCAACUCGACUCCAUGAAGUCGGAAUCGCUAGUAAUCGUAGAUCAGAAUGCUACGGUGAAUACGUUCCCGGGCCUUGUACGCACCGCCCGUCACACCAUGGGAGUGGGUUGCAAAAGAAGUAGGUAGCUUAACCUCCGGGAGGGCGCUUACCACUUUGUGAUUCAUGACUGGGGUGAAGUCGUAACAAGGUAACCAAGGGCGAAUUCUG
Molecule: ribosomal RNA, 703 nt
Filed under: uncultured Pantoea sp.
Lineage: Bacteria; Pseudomonadati; Pseudomonadota; Gammaproteobacteria; Enterobacterales; Erwiniaceae
Description: bacterial SSU rRNA
Rfam family: Bacterial small subunit ribosomal RNA
Source: RNAcentral